This 253-nucleotide ribosomal RNA is filed under the name uncultured bacterium. Its description in RNAcentral is "partial 16S ribosomal RNA". It matches the Rfam family "Bacterial small subunit ribosomal RNA", at positions 524 to 776 of the family's 1533-position model. The record is from RNAcentral.
CACGUAGGGGGCGAGCGUUGUCCGGAUUUAUUGGGCGUAAAGCGCACGUAGGCGGCUUCUUAAGUCGGUGGUGAAAUCCUGGAGCUCAACUCCAGAACUGCCUUCGAUACUGGGAAGCUCGAGUCCGGGAGAGGUGAGUGGAACUGCGAGUGUAGAGGUGAAAUUCGUAGAUAUUCGCAAGAACACCAGUGGCGAAGGCGGCUCACUGGCCCGGUACUGACGCUGAGGUGCGAAAGCGUGGGGAGCAAACAGG